This is a long non-coding RNA of Symphalangus syndactylus (siamang), 1526 nucleotides long. RefSeq lists it as uncharacterized. The record is from RefSeq and is a predicted model, not a curated record. Lineage: Eukaryota; Metazoa; Chordata; Mammalia; Primates; Hylobatidae.
UCUCUCCCUCUCAGCUCUUUUGCUCUUCUGCCAUCUGAGGAAUAGUGUUUCUCCCUCUGGAGGAUGUAGCAUUCAAGAAGCCACCUUGGAAGUGGAGACAGCUUUGACUCGAUGCCAGAUCAGCUGGUACCAUGAUCAUGGACUUCCAGCUUCCAGAACUGUGGAAAACAUAUUUCUCUUGUUUAUAAAUUACCCAGUCUGUGGUAUUCUGUUAGAACAACACAAAAUGAACUAAGACAAUGUGUGUGUGUGUUUAUGUGUGUGCAUGCACAUGUAUGAGCAUGUCCAUGUGUGUCAGUGUGUGUGUGUAUCUCCUGUUUGUUCUAUCUGGUUAACCAUGAUUGAAACAGAUAUCAUGAAGAUAGCAAUGCGGCUUUGAGCAGAGACAGUUGCAGGAUUAUGGAGAGCCUUGAGUGAGCUGUCAUUAUGAGUUAUGUCACCCCAAUAGUCAUAAAAUACUGAGUAAUAUUUGAGUAAUAAUUAAUUAUUACUAUGUCUACUAAGUGAGCAUAUAUUGUGCCAUAGAGGUCGGUUGGCACGAUUUCUAUUGACUCAGAUUUCCGAGAUGCUAAUCCAGAGCCUGAGUGGAAGUCUCUCAUCUUCCUGUCAGAGAAGCUUUACUCUGCUGAAGAGAGCACCAAAAGCUGGGUAUCCUCCAUCAGGGAAUGGGGAUCUGACUAGAAAAGGCCUCCAGCUCUGUCAGGUUAAUACUGGGAUGAAGAAGGACUUUUUAUAUUAAUGGAGUCAAUGCCAUUGAAAGUUAGCAUUCAUUUAGUCCACUUCUUCAUUGUAUACAUAGGGAGAGUGAACCUGAGAGAAGAGAAGCCACCUUUAUAGGCCACACAGCAAGUUGGUGGCACAGCCAGGCCUCACACUCACAUCUCCUGACAAUAAGUAAGGUGGAGAAGAAAGGAGAAGGAAAGAGAUAAAGGUUGUUUGCUAGAAGAGAAGUCUGGAUUCCCAUUGUGCUUUUACUAUGAGCCAUUUGCUGCAUGAGCCCCUGCCACUCUUCUAAAUAAGCUUCCAGGCAUUACCUGCAUGCUGUGUUCCUGUGGUGGGAUGGCAGUAAUCUCUGCUAAGAUAAACGGGAGCUUCUGUGGAUAAAGCGUAAACGCAGUGAAGUGUGUGUGGCUGGAAGAUUUAAUGCCUCUACAGUGCUUAGAUACAAGUUGAGCUUGGAAUUCCAGAGGUAGAGCACUGCUGAUUGGAGGCAUAUUAAGUAAAAUGUACUGUGGAAAUGAGAUAAAACCUUUAUUCUUGUCAAUGACUGUCAUUCUUGUAUGUAUUCAGGUGUCCAACAAAGGAUUUUAGAAUAAAGUGUGCCUUUAAAGUUUCCCACCUUUCUUAAAGCUCCCAAUGAAUUGCAAAGGGCCUGUUUGGAAUGGACUGUAUUAAAUCUACUUCAAAUGAAAACCUUUACACUUAGUGAAAUAUGGUUCAACAAUCCUUAACACAAGGCCUUUACACUUGUGUAGCCCAUUUUGGUUUGGCCUGUCUUGUCACUAGAAUGCUGUCUGAGCUUGGAU